UACGUAGGGGGCAAGCGUUGUCCGGAAUCAUUGGGCGUAAAGAGCGCGUAGGCGGCCCUGUAAGUCCGCUGUGAAAGUCAAGGGCUCAACCCUUGGAUGCCGGUGGAUACUGCAGGGCUAGAGUCCGGAAGAGGCGAGUGGAAUUCCCGGUGUAGCGGUGAAAUGCGCAGAUAUCGGGAGGAACACCUAUGGCGAAGGCAGCUCGCUGGGACGUUACUGACGCUGAGACGCGAAAGCGUGGGGAGCAAACAGG
This 253-nucleotide ribosomal RNA is filed under the name uncultured bacterium. Its description in RNAcentral is "partial 16S ribosomal RNA". It matches the Rfam family "Bacterial small subunit ribosomal RNA", at positions 524 to 776 of the family's 1533-position model. The record is from RNAcentral.